Long non-coding RNA from Rosa rugosa (rugosa rose), 1117 nucleotides. RefSeq lists it as uncharacterized. NCBI's taxonomy places the organism in Eukaryota, Viridiplantae, Streptophyta, Magnoliopsida, Rosales, Rosaceae. The transcript has 5 exons. The record is from RefSeq and is a predicted model, not a curated record.
ACUCAUUUUUAGCUAUUCAGUUUCUGUUCUUGUAUUUUACAAAUCAUGGUAAUGAAUUUAUAGAAAGAAUUUUUAGAUACUCCGAUCGUUUUUUUUUUCUGGCAUUCACUUCUGGUCAGGAUUUGUAUUCAGGCACCACGAAUCAUAGACUAAUUGGACUGUUUGUUUAUGACUGGAUGUUUUAUCCUCUGGUUCAACAGUUCUAGUACUUGUGUCCCUUGGUUCAAUUUCUACUAGUAUAUGCUAUAACUUUCUAGUCACUAGCAUUGUUUAUAAACCCCAAGUCCUGGUUUUGCCUCAUUAAAUUUAUAUGUUGCAGAAAUUAAAGGCUAGAAUUUUCUUUAAAAGAAUUAUUGGCACUGUUGUGCGAUCUAUGCAAGCGGAUCAAAAGGAGCAAGUUUGCCGUGUCUACUAUGCCUAAGAUGUAUGCGGGACACAUGUAUACCUGAUAAGAAGAUGCUUAAAGAUCCAAGGAGGCUGUAUGCACCUGGCCGUCUCUAUCAUAUUGUUGAGAGAAAGCCUUGCAGAUCAAAGUUUCAAACUUUGCACUUAUUAGUGCAUUUAUGACGGAGUUGGAAGCUGAACACCUGUUAUCCAGAACGUUAGAGUCAACUAGCUGUCAGUCUGCUGAUCAGGUGGAAGCAACAUUAGUUAACAAAGGAGUCAGAGUAAUAUCCGAAGAAUCAACCUGUUGGUGUUGUGCUUGUGCGGGCGUGGCUGGCCAGAGAUAGCUAAUACAUGGGAACCCUUGGAGAAUCUCCAAUCUGUCUCUGAUGUUAUAGAAGCAUUUGAAAAAAGUGGGCGGUAAAGACGCGGAAAUCAUAUAGCCAAAAUCAAAUUGACGAGGUGUGCAUUGAAGUGGCUGAUUAUAUACAGAGUUUGAUGUAGGACUGUGACUGCCAAGAUGUUUUUUGAGUAAGGCUAGCUAGUUUUGGCUUUGAAGCAAACCUUGGUGUGGAACUUUUGUACAUUGUUGCUCAUAUGUUUCCAAGCUAGCUUUUGUAAGUUUAGGGGUUUAUUUUCUGAAUUAUGUUGAAUCAUGAAUUUGGAAAGAAAAUUAAUGGAAAGCCCCUAAUUUUGGAUGAUGAGAAAUGCACUUUUUUUCCCAGCAAUAGCU